Molecule: ribosomal RNA, 397 nt
Filed under: uncultured fungus
Lineage: Eukaryota; Fungi
Description: eukaryotic LSU rRNA
Rfam family: Eukaryotic large subunit ribosomal RNA
Source: RNAcentral
CCCGCUGAACUUAAGCAUAUCAAUAAGCGGAGGAAAAGAAACUAACAAGGAUUCCCCUAGUAACUGCGAGUGAAGCGGGAAGAGCUCAAAUUUAAAAUCUGGCAGUCCUCUGGCUGUCCGAGUUGUAAUCUGGAGAAGCGUUUUCCGCGUCGGACCGUGUACAAGUCUUCUGGAACGGAGCGUCAUAGAGGGUGAGAAUCCCGUCUCUGACACGGACCGCCGACGCUUCAUGUGAUACGCUCUCGAAGAGUCGAGUUGUUUGGGAAUGCAGCUCAAAAUGGGUGGUAAAUUCCAUCUAAAGCUAAAUACUGGCGAGAGACCGAUAGCGAACAAGUACCGUGAGGGAAAGAUGAAAAGCACUUUGGAAAGAGAGUUAAACAGUACGUGAAAUUGUUGA